AAUAUUGCGCAAUGGAGGGAACUCUGACGCAGCGACGUCGCGUGAGCGAAGAAGGUCUUCGGAUCGUAAAGCUCUGUCUUUGGGGACGAAAGAAAUGACGGUACCCUAUGAGGAAGCCCCGGCUAACUACGUGCCAGCAGCCGCGGUAACACGUAGGGGGCAAGCGUUGUCCGGAAUUACGGGGCGUAAAGGGUGCGUAGGCGGCAUAUUAAGUCAGGUGUGAAACCCCACGGCUCAACUGUGGGCUUGCACAUGAAACUGGUAUGCUUGAGUACAGGAGAGGAAAGCGGAAUUCCUAGUGUAGUGGUGAAAUGCGUAGAUAUUAGGAAGAACACCAGUGGCGAAGGCGGCUUUCUGGACUGUAACUGACGCUGAGGCACGAAAGCGUGGGGAGCAAACA
RNAcentral lists this ribosomal RNA (400 nucleotides) under uncultured bacterium. Its description in RNAcentral is "partial 16S ribosomal RNA". It matches the Rfam family "Bacterial small subunit ribosomal RNA", at positions 360 to 774 of the family's 1533-position model. The record is from RNAcentral.